RNAcentral lists this ribosomal RNA (497 nucleotides) under uncultured bacterium. Its description in RNAcentral is "partial 16S ribosomal RNA". It matches the Rfam family "Bacterial small subunit ribosomal RNA", at positions 28 to 507 of the family's 1533-position model. The record is from RNAcentral.
GAUGAACGCUGGCGGCGUGCCUAAUACAUGCAAGUCGAGCGAACGGACGAGAAGCUUGCUUCUCUGAUGUUAGCGGCGGACGGGUGAGUAACGCGUGGAUAACCUACCUAUAAGACUGGGAUAACUUCGGGAAACCGGAGCUAAUACCGGAUGAUAUUUUGAACCGCAUGGUUCAAAAGUGAAAGACGGUCUUGCUGUCACUUAUAGAUGGAUCCGCGCUGCAUUAGCUAGUUGGUAAGGUAACGGCUUACCAAGGCAACGAUGCAUAGCCGACCUGAGAGGGUGAUCGGCCACACUGGAACUGAGACACGGUCCAGACUCCUACGGGAGGCAGCAGUAGGGAAUCUUCCGCAAUGGGCGAAAGCCUGACGGAGCAACGCCGCGUGAGUGAUGAAGGUCUUCGGAUCGUAAAACUCUGUUAUUAGGGAAGAACAUAUGUGUAAGUAACUGUGCACAUCUUGACGGUACCUAAUCAGAAAGCCACGGCUAACUACGUG